UACGUAGGGUGCGAGCGUUAAUCGGAAUUACUGGGCGUAAAGUGUGCGCAGGCGGCCGCGCAAGUCGAGUGUGAAAGCCCCGGGCUUAACUUGGAAUUGCGCUCGAAACUACGUGGCUGGAGUGUGGCAGAGGAAGGUGGAAUUCCAGGUGUAGCGGUGAAAUGCGUAGAGAUCUGGAGGAACACCGAUGGCGAAGGCAGCCUUCUGGGCCAACACUGACGCUCAUGCACGAAAGCGUGGGGAGCAAACAGG
RNAcentral lists this ribosomal RNA (252 nucleotides) under uncultured bacterium. RNAcentral describes it as "partial 16S ribosomal RNA". It matches the Rfam family "Bacterial small subunit ribosomal RNA", at positions 524 to 776 of the family's 1533-position model. The record is from RNAcentral.